This 105-nucleotide small nuclear RNA is filed under the name Monodon monoceros (narwhal). Lineage: Eukaryota; Metazoa; Chordata; Mammalia; Artiodactyla; Monodontidae. The record is from RNAcentral.
GCCUGCUUCGGCAGCACAUACACUAAAAUUGGAAUGAUACAGAGAAGAUUAGCAUGGCCCCUGCGCAAGGAUGACACGCAAAUCCAUGAAGCGUUCCAUAUUUUU